Long non-coding RNA from Salvia miltiorrhiza (redroot sage), 647 nucleotides. RefSeq lists it as uncharacterized. NCBI's taxonomy places the organism in Eukaryota, Viridiplantae, Streptophyta, Magnoliopsida, Lamiales, Lamiaceae. The transcript has 3 exons. The record is from RefSeq and is a predicted model, not a curated record.
UUGAGCUGCUGCUGUACUCCAGAAACGACGCUGCUGUCAAGUUUUCUCCGGUCGCCGCCACGCUGCUCUGGUUUACCUUGCUGUACGGCAGCACGUGCAUUGCUCUUCCGGUCUGUUCUCGACUUAGCCGCUGCUCCUUGAGCGCCAUACUUUGCUGCUGCUUUGAGCUGCUGCUGUACUCCAGAAACGACGCUGCUGUCAAGCUUUCUCCGGUCGCUGCCACGCUGCUCUGAUUUACCUUGCUGUACACCAGACGAGGCAGGAGCAGAAUUAGCUGCUUCAAUCGGAGGGCAGCACGUGCACUGCUCUUCCGGUCUGUUCUCGACUUAGCCGCUGCUCCUUGAGUUCAAUAGCAAAAGUUAUUCUAGUGUGGAGAUUGAUGAAGUGCGGAGGGAGUGGGCUGAUUGUGUUUUGCAGGUAAUAUGAUCAAAGCUAACUUGGAUGCAAAGAGGAAAGAAGACCAUAUUUAGUUAUUGAAAAAUUGAGGCUUCAAGAACAUUUGAUUUUGAGAGCUGAUAUUAGAUUUUGUCUUCCUAGAAACUUGAUAUUAGACUUCCUUUUGUUAUAUUGAUAGUUGAAACUUGGUGCGAGACAUUGGAGAUGAUUGUAACGUACAUUGGUGCUAAUUGAUUGUGUAAUUUGAUAUU